This 468-nucleotide ribosomal RNA is filed under the name uncultured bacterium. Its description in RNAcentral is "partial 16S ribosomal RNA". It matches the Rfam family "Bacterial small subunit ribosomal RNA", at positions 28 to 507 of the family's 1533-position model. The record is from RNAcentral.
GACGAACGCUGGCGGCGUGCUUAACACAUGCAAGUCGAACGGAAAGGCCCUGCUUUUGUGGUGUGUUCGAGUGGCGAACGUGUGAAUAACAUGUGAGUCACCUGCCCUUUACUUUGGGAUAUCUUGAGGAAACCGGGGCUACUACCUGAUAGUAGCUCCUGCUGCAUGGGGGGGUUCGGAAAGUUUCGGCGGUUGGGGAUGUAGUCGCGGGUUAUCAGCAUGCUGGUGGGGUAGUGGCUUACCAAGGCGUCGACGGGUGGCCGGCCUGAGAGGGUGGACGGAGACACGGCGACGAAGACAAGGCGCAGCAGCAUAGGGGAGGCAGCAGUGGGGAAUGUUGCACAGAGGGAGGGAGGCUGAGGGGGCGACGCCGGGUGUGGGAUGACGGCCUCCUGGUGGUAAAGCGCAUUCGCCUGGGACGGAGCGGGAGUGACGGUAAUGGGAGAAGAAGCACCGGCUAACUACGUG